GACCUCCCAGGGAAACAAGCCUGGCAUGGUGCCCAUUCUAUUCACUGCUCGCUCUGCAGCUGGUGAGUGGAAGACUGCGUCAGUA
This 85-nucleotide small nucleolar RNA is filed under the name Sorex araneus (European shrew). The record is from RNAcentral. Lineage: Eukaryota; Metazoa; Chordata; Mammalia; Eulipotyphla; Soricidae.